Long non-coding RNA from Acinonyx jubatus (cheetah), 486 nucleotides. RefSeq lists it as uncharacterized. The record is from RefSeq and is a predicted model, not a curated record. NCBI's taxonomy places the organism in Eukaryota, Metazoa, Chordata, Mammalia, Carnivora, Felidae. The transcript is spliced from 2 exons.
AGGAAGUCACAGGAGCUGUCUGGCAUCUUGAUAAGCCUUCCUCAGGCACCAGUUUCCACUGGAGCUCCUACAGUCCACCCCCUGAGAAGGCAAAUAGCUAAGAGGAAAACUUCCCUUUCUGCGUGGUCCACCCAUCCUCGCCAGUGAAAAGAAUGGAGGAAAGAUGUUGUCCUGGGAGCUGAGAGAAGAACCCUCCCCAGAACUUUGAGAGAGAAAGAUUCCUUUGUUCCACCAUAAACAGCCAGCUACAGUUCUCAAUUAAGAAUGAUUUUUUUCCCGGGGGCCCCUGGAUGGCUCAGGUGGUUAAGCGUGCAACUUUGGCUCAGGUCACGGUCUCACUAUUUGUGAAUUCAAACCCCACAUCGGGCUCACUGCUGUCGAAGUAGAGCCAGCCUCACUUUGGAUUCCCUGUUCCCACACCUCCCCCCCACCCCCACCCCUGCCUCUCUCCUGUGUGUAUGUGCUUUCUCUCUCUCUCUCUCUCUC